UGAGCCGCUGGCGGCGUGCCUAAUACAUGCAAGUCGAGCGGACAGAUGGGAGCUUGCUCCCUGAUGUUAGCGGCGGACGGGUGAGUAACACGUGGGUAACCUGCCUGUAAGACUGGGAUAACUCCGGGAAACCGGGGCUAAUACCGGAUGCUUGUUUGAACCGCAUGGUUCAAACAUAAAAGGUGGCUUCGGCUACCACUUACAGAUGGACCCGCGGCGCAUUAGCUAGUUGGUGAGGUAAUGGCUCACCAAGGCAACGAUGCGUAGCCGACCUGAGAGGGUGAUCGGCCACACUGGGACUGAGACACGGCCCAGACUCCUACGGGAGGCAGCAGUAGGGAAUCUUCCGCAAUGGACGAAAGUCUGACGGAGCAACGCCGCGUGAGUGAUGAAGGUUUUCGGAUCGUAAAGCUCUGUUGUUAGGGAAGAACAAGUACCGUUCGAAUAGGGCGGUACCUUGACGGUACCUAACCAGAAAGCCACGGCUAACUACGUGCCAGCAGCCGCGGUAAUA
Molecule: ribosomal RNA, 514 nt
Filed under: Bacillus subtilis
Lineage: Bacteria; Bacillati; Bacillota; Bacilli; Caryophanales; Bacillaceae
Description: bacterial SSU rRNA
Rfam family: Bacterial small subunit ribosomal RNA
Source: RNAcentral